This is a long non-coding RNA of Danaus plexippus (monarch butterfly), 1730 nucleotides long. RefSeq lists it as uncharacterized. The record is from RefSeq and is a predicted model, not a curated record. NCBI's taxonomy places the organism in Eukaryota, Metazoa, Arthropoda, Insecta, Lepidoptera, Nymphalidae. The transcript has 2 exons.
AAACGAAAGCAUACUCGACUCCAAAAUCCUGAUCAAAUACAUCUAUUGCGAAUAUAACUAAUUUCUGUUCCUUUUCUGCUAACCGUGGUCAUGCGUUUGAAUCGUGUUUCCGACGGGAAUAAGGAGAUCACGCCGAAUUUUAAUUUAAUACCAACUGUUCCAGGUUUUGAAAUGACUACUGAUAUAUUAACCGGAGCAGAUUUAUUACGUGAUAAGAAUACAUGUGGAAAAUUUAGUAUCCUUGCCGAUGUUUUGCACAUACGAACAAGUCAAUUAUGCUUUGACAGUUUAGAUUACAAUUCAACAAUCAGUCCGUUUAAAUCGAAGUAAUGCACCAACACAUUCAAAACAGGAUGGUCGAGGCGGAGAGAAGAUACAAAGCUAGGUUUUUGAGAGGUCGAACUACGAUUAAAAGAUUCCAGAAGGGAGAUAUUGUAAUAAUAAAAAUAUAACCCCAGAAAUCGGAUAUCCCUAUAUUUAAAAUUUUGUGAACUAUACAAAAUCCAGAAAAUAAUUGAGAAUGAUUAAUAUCUUGUAAAGUGAUUUUAGACAAUGGAUGACUCCGAAAUGUGGCACAUGACCAGCUACGAAUGUGGCACAUGACCAGCUACGAUGAGACUUCACAGCAUCUGAGGGACGACACAGAAUUACUAAGCAAGCAGUUAGGUGGACGGUUCGCCUACCUAAUAGUUAUCCGGUGAGCGUAUUUCAUUUUGUUCAAAUUGCUUCAUUCAAACGCAUUACCAUUAAUCAUUGCUAGCAAUGUGAUUGUCUAACACUUAGUUUGAGAUAUAUUACUAUAAAAGAUGCAUUUGGCGUGCGGAUCCGAACCAUAACAAAAAAAAAAAAAUAAUAAUAAAUAAAAAAAAAUAAAAUAAUAAUUAAUAAAAAAUAAUAUUGUAGACGGGUGGAGACGUCUUACGCCAAACAAAUAAAGAAAGAAAAAAAAAAUUUAUGUAGACGGGUGGAGACGUCUUACGAAAAAAAAAAAAAAUUAAAAAAAUAUUGUACUGGUGGAGACGUCUUACGCCAUACAAAUAAAGAAAUAAAAAAAAAAAAAAAAAAAGUUGUAGGCGGAUGGAGACAUCCUAUGACAUAUGUUAUGAAUGUUCGUGUGACGCCCCAAAGCCAUAAGUAGAUUAAAUAAUUGGACCUGAUAUUAUGAUUUCGUCUCACGAUGAGUCGUAAUAAACAACGUAACCCAUACGACAACAACAAAUUUGUUAACCAUAACUAUAACAAUAUAAAGUUAUCUAGGUUUACUGUGGAAGUACCUAGACUACAUAAGUAUCUCUCUGUUAUCACAGAAAACAAUGCAGAGCACGCAUCAGUAUAACCGUAUCGGCAUGACUUCGGACGAUGAAGCAUCAAUUCUUGAACCUGGCCCAUCUACUCUACGAGACCUGCAACGGGUACGAGAACAUAACGAAAGCUAAGCAAGAGAGAACACAUCACCAGGCAGGUGCAGAGCACGCACCGCCUGCCAGAAUGGCCGUAUCGGCGCAAGCAGCUUCAACGACGGAUGCAACAUGAAAAUAACUGGCACCAAUUAUUAUAACACCUUAUUGGUCGUCGUUACUAUUGUUAAAAGUAAAACGAAAUCAAAGAGAAUAGAACUAUGUUUGAAUUCUGGUUUAAAUAUGACGUCUGGACGCACGACGGGGGACUGCAGAGUUCAGCGAGUGCGGAGCAUAAAGAACCUUCGAGAAAUACAAGAACAUUUAGAAGAA